UCGAGAAUCUUCCGCAAUGGGCGAAAGCCUGACGGAGCGACGCCGCGUGGAGGACGAAGGCCCUUGGGUUGUAAACUCCUGUCACGAGUUAUGAAUGUUCGUAUGUUAAUAGCAUGCGAGUUGACGUAUGCUCGAGAGGAAGCACCGGCUAACUCUGUGCCAGCAGCCGCGGUAAUACAGAGGGUGCAAACGUUGUUCGGAAUCACUGGGCAUAAAGCGCACGUAGGCGGUCUUGUAAGUGUGAAGUGAAAGCCCACGGCUCAACCGUGGAAUUGCUUUGCAUACUGCAGGACUCGAGGACGGUAGGGGAGAGCGGAACUCCUGGUGGAGCGGUGAAAUGCGUAGAUAUCAGGAGGAACACCGGUGGCGAAGGCGGCUCUCUGGUCCGUUUCUGACGCUGAGGUGCGAAAGCCAGGGUAGCGAACGGGAUUAGAUACCCCCGUAGUCC
This 448-nucleotide ribosomal RNA is filed under the name uncultured prokaryote. RNAcentral's name for it is "bacterial SSU rRNA". It matches the Rfam family "Bacterial small subunit ribosomal RNA", at positions 355 to 796 of the family's 1533-position model. The record is from RNAcentral.